UGCAGAUGGACCCGCGGCGCAUUAGCUAGUUGGUGAGGUAACGGCUCACCAAGGCGACGAUGCGUAGCCGACCUGAGAGGGUGAUCGGCCACACUGGGACUGAGACACGGCCCAGACUCCUACGGGAGGCAGCAGUAGGGAAUCUUCCGCAAUGGACGAAAGUCUGACGGAGCAACNCCGCGUGAGUGAUGAAGGUUUUCGGAUCGUAAAACUCUGUUGUUAGGGAAGAACAAGUGCCGUUCGAAUAGGGCGGUACCUUGACGGUACCUAACCAGAAAGCCACGGCUAACUACGUGCCAGCAGCCGCGGUAAUACGUAGGUGGCAAGCGUUGUCCGGAAUUAUUGGGCGUAAAGCGCGCGCAGGCGGUUUCUUAAGUCUGAUGUGAAAGCCCCCGGCUCAACCGGGGAGGGUCAUUGGAAACUGG
RNAcentral lists this ribosomal RNA (425 nucleotides) under uncultured bacterium. Its description in RNAcentral is "bacterial SSU rRNA". It matches the Rfam family "Bacterial small subunit ribosomal RNA", at positions 220 to 636 of the family's 1533-position model. The record is from RNAcentral.